AAAUUAAUUAAUUCAUUACUAACUUUCAGCAUAAAAAUUUUUCUCAUUUUUAUCGAUUUAUUGUUUAUCGAUGAGAGAAAUAAAUGAAAACAAAAUAAAAAAUAAAUAUAUAAGGAGAGAAAUAUAUCGCAUUUGCCAUAGUAAAUAAAAAGAAAUAAGGAAAAAACAAGAAAAAUGUCAAAGAAGAAACAUAAAAGGUUGCGGAAACGCAAACUCUGUUAUACUUAACAAUGUCCACCUCGUUGAUGCAAGGCGUUUAUGAUCGACUUAUAUGAGUGAACAUGAAUCGAUAAAUUAACGUGCCAUCAUGUGUGUCUGAUGACACGUUCCAAGGCUUGUAACUGUAAUAAUAAAUUCCUGCAAAAAUG
This is a long non-coding RNA of Apis dorsata (giant honeybee), 368 nucleotides long. RefSeq lists it as uncharacterized. The transcript is spliced from 2 exons. NCBI's taxonomy places the organism in Eukaryota, Metazoa, Arthropoda, Insecta, Hymenoptera, Apidae. The record is from RefSeq and is a predicted model, not a curated record.